Molecule: ribosomal RNA, 254 nt
Filed under: uncultured bacterium
Lineage: Bacteria
Description: partial 16S ribosomal RNA
Rfam family: Bacterial small subunit ribosomal RNA
Source: RNAcentral
UACGUAGGGUGCGAGCGUUGUCCGGAAUUAUUGGGCGUAAAGAGCUCGUAGGCGGUGUGUCACGUCGGCCGUGAAAACCUGCAGCUUAACUGUGGGCGUGCGGUCGAUACGGGCACCACUGGAGUUCGGCAGGGGAGACUGGAAUUUCUGGUGUAGCGGUGAAAUGCGCAGAUAUCAGGAGGAACACCGGUGGCGAAGGCGGGUCUCUGGGCCGAUACUGACGCUGAGGAGCGAAAGCGUGGGGAGCAAACAGG